GCCUACACCUUCUUCAUCGACUUUUUUAUCAUUUGGUUCAUCAGUUUCUGUUUUCUCACCGCCUCGUGGCACCCAAUUCUUGCGUUUAAAUUUUCGAUUCAGAACGAUGGCGUCUCAUGUUGUUGGAUAUCCUCGUAUGGGGCCCAAGAGAGAGCUUAAGUUUGCGUUGGAAUCAUUUUGGGAUGGGAAGAGCAAUUCUGAGGAUUUGGAGAAAGUGGCAGCUGAUCUUAGGUUAUCUAUUUGGAAGCAGAUGGCUGAUGCUGGCAUUAAAUAUAUUCCAAGCAACACCUUCUCGUAUUAUGACCAAGUUUUGGACACAACUGCUAUGCUAGGUGCAGUUCCACCAAGAUACGGUUGGAAUGGUGGUGAGAUUGGUUUUGAUGUCUACUUCCCAAUGGCUAGGGGAAACGCCUCUGUACCUGCCAUGGAAAUGACAAAAUGGUUUGACACCAACUACCACUAUAUUGUUCCUGAAUUAGGUCCAGAUGUUAAGUUUUCCUAUGCGUCUCACAAGGCAGUUAGUGAAUAUAAGGAAGCUAAAUCUCUCGGCAUUGACACAGUCCCUGUCCUCGUAGGUCCAGUUUCCUUCCUCUUGUUAUCAAAAGCAGCAAAAGGUGUUGAAAAGUCGUUUCCUCUUCUAUCACUGAUUG
Molecule: unclassified non-coding RNA, 650 nt
Filed under: Hevea brasiliensis (rubber tree)
Lineage: Eukaryota; Viridiplantae; Streptophyta; Magnoliopsida; Malpighiales; Euphorbiaceae
Source: RNAcentral